Molecule: non-coding RNA, 107 nt
Organism: Canis lupus familiaris (dog)
Lineage: Eukaryota; Metazoa; Chordata; Mammalia; Carnivora; Canidae
Source: Rfam
AUGCUCACUUCGGCAGCACAUAUACUAAAAUUGGAACGAUACAGAGAAGAUUAGCAUGGCCCCUGCGCAAGGAUGAUACGUAAAAAAGGAAUGAAAUCGUAACAGUG